CCUCACUGCAUGUCAGCUGCGUGUCAGGUUCCAUUUGUCUUUGUAACAGAGUAUCGAACAGGAGCGAGGAAAUAAAUAAACACAGAGAGACAACCGACCGAAGAUUGCAGGCACACGGAUGGGCUGGAGGAGGUGAGCCCCACGCCACAGACACUAAAAUACAUCUCAAUUUCGCACGCAGCAUGGUCGCUCUGUGCCCACGGUCAUGUUCUUCUCCCCUCGCUGCCCCGCUACCCCCAGCACCUCUGGGUAGGAUGGGAGCACCAUUGUGCACGCUGUCCCUCCUAAUCCCACAAGCAUGACUCAGACAACGCUCUGCCAUUGAUGGGAGAGGAGUAAAUCAACCAAGAUGCUGCGCUUAGGAGCAAGACUAGUAAAACCAAAGCCAGCUUCUGGCUAAAAGACUUCAUUACAGACGACCCCACUCCAUGAGCCCCGUACCUGCUCCAUGCUAAGUGCCCUGGGCUCCCCAGCCAAGUCGGCGUUAGAGGCAGGAAAUUAACGACCCGGCGAGCACGAGCGAGAGAAGCGACUUCAUCUCCAGCUGCGGAAGGAGGGGACUCUCCCAGGGACGGAUCCCUCCGCCCCAGCCCUCGGCCUGCACCGCCCGGUAUCUCGUGCCUCCGGACUAGCGGCCCCCCGAGUCCUUUUAAAAGGGACCAUUAAAUAAGAGUCCCUCCCGAAAGCAGGAGCAGAAGUGGGCAGCUCGGUCAUCCAGGAGUUUCGACCCACCUCGCUGGCCCCCAGCCCAGCCCAGCCCAGCCCAGCCAGCGGACUCCAGGAACAUCCCGCCCACACUCCCCAAUGGAGUAAUCCCGCCGACUCCAAACCCAGCCAUAGUGGUUGUCCAGAUUGGCCAAUCGGACCACCUUCAACAUUUCCACCCAGGUGAAAAUCCCCAGGUACUGGAGAGCAGAAGAAAGGCAACAGUAAUCAGCUGUAGGCUUCAGAAAAGUCAAGGCAGGAGGGCACAGCCCAUGGAAAUGGCAAGCAAAAACUUCGAAGGCUCAGAACCAGCAGUCCAGCACCCAGGGGAGUCUUCCAGAGGAAACUGACGCUCACCAAGAGGAAAUGUAAAGAGACAGCUUUGCCAUUCCUCAGCCAAGACCCCAGUCAGUCUCUCCAGAGGGAAGCCCCAGCACAAGCCCACCCAGCCCCAAGCUGCCUCCCUCGAGCUCAUUUGAGCCCUUCAGACAACCCUGAAGAGAAAACCCAACAAGACAACCACCAGGGUAGGGGCAGGUGAGGGGGGAUCUUUGAAGAAACAGACUUAGGCAAGGAGGAGAAAAUAUCAGAAAUAGCCGUAUUUAAUAUCCUCGAAGAGAUCAGAGGAGAUAUUGCAUCCCAGAACCAAGAGCAGGAUGCUAUUUUAAGGAGAACAUUUAGAGAACAAAAAGGGCUGGGAAAUUAAAAGCAUGAGAGCCGAAACAAAAAAAAAAAAAACUCAACAGACUGGUUGGAAGAUAAAAGUAAGCGAAUGUCCCAGAAGGCACAGCAAAAAGACAAAGAGGAAAAAAGAAAGAAAGGAGGAAAAAUUAGAUGCCACAUUCAAACUACACAAAAGAAUUCUGGGGCGGCGGGCUGGGGGUGAAUGAGAAUCACAAACUAUUUAAUUCAAGAAAUGUUCCCAGAAAUGAGAAUGAGUUUUCAAAUUCUACACACAAUGGAUGGAAAUUGACCCACAUCAAGGCAUAUUAUAAUAGAAAAUAGAGAAAGUUCCCUCAGGUUUCCAAGCACUAUGAAAAAGAGCAAGGGUGAGAGUGACUCCUGAAUUUUCAACAGCAACAGCAGGGCAAGCUAACAAACAACACAGUAUGCCUUCAAAACGCCAACAGAUAGUGAUUUCUGGCCUAGAAUCUUUUACUUAAUCAAAACGACAAUAAAAUGUGAAUUAAAAUAAAGACGUUUGAAUAGGCAAAGUGUCAAAAAUAUUAUUUCCUGUGUGCCAUCUUCCAGCUACUGCAGGAUGUGCUCCAACAAAACAAAGAAGGAGAACAUGAAAGAGGGCAACAAGGGAGAGAGAAAACAGGGGCUCCACUAAGAAAACAAGAGGGACAGGUGCACAGGACAGUGAGAAGAGAUGACAAGAGGGCAGAUGUGCACUAGGCAAGAAGCCAUCGUCUAAAUGAGAGCAGGGAAACCAGACAAGCCAACUGUCCAGGGCACAGACACAUCGAGGGCUGUCGUCAGUGAAAUGCUUUUGACACCGUAAAAACCUGGCCUAGAAUCUUCUCUGUACUCAGAGGCCAGGCUGAGAUGGAGUUCCCCCUCCUCUCUCUCUGCAGCACAACUGAUAUAGGCUGGACACAUUUCAGCCCUCAGAGGUCUCCUACCUUGACCCACUCUUAGAAAUGGGAAGGAGGUCACCGUGAGCUAGGAAACAGAAAGGCAGAUCAGCUGCUUACCCCACCCAGCACCCAGCCAGGCACCCCAGCUGGCGUCUCCUUUCCCCAGGACCCCUUAUGCCCUGCUUACUCUCGAAAAGGGUCUCUUGAAAAUUGCUGGGCAACUGAGGUCCAAGACCUUUCCCUUUGUCUCCUCCCAGGCCCCUCCCUCUAGGAACAGCAGCCCAAAGGCACCUUGGGCAGAGAGGACACCGAAGGUCAGCUUCUGUCUCCAUCACCAUGCACAUCCACUCUGGAAGUUAAUGACAGCACAAAAAUAGGGUAAAAUGUUUGAGGAAAACAGGGUAUGAGGGGGCUUCUUUCCCAUCACCAGCUUUUAACGUUAGGCCCACAGAUAAGCAAUACCACAGGCUGCUGCGGAGAUUAUGUUACAUCUGGUACCAGGUUGCCCAAGUGGUCUAAUUUUAUUUUAUUUCAUUUUAUUUUAUUUAUUUUUGUGGUUCUGG
Molecule: long non-coding RNA, 2851 nt
Organism: Heterocephalus glaber (naked mole-rat)
Lineage: Eukaryota; Metazoa; Chordata; Mammalia; Rodentia; Bathyergidae
Source: Ensembl